UAAACAAUAAUAUUGAAUGAUAAAAAAUAUAGGAGUAGAUCUUGUGUGCUAUAUAUUAGGAUCACGGAGACCUCCGUGCUUCUAAGCCGUUUUUGAUAAUGUAACUUCCGAAUUGACAAUCGGCUCUAUUAAACUUGAUCUAAUGUAUUUGAACUAUCUAGAAAAUAAAUUUUAUGAUUUUUCGAUAUCUUUUAUCUGAUGAUCGAAAAUACUCAAAAUCAAUGGUUGAAAAUAAAAAAUCUUACAAAAAAUUAUAAUGUAGCACUAAAAUUUUUGAUCAGAUAUAUUGAUCUUGUUGUAAUAGUAUGAAAAAUUUUCUAUCAAAAUUUUAUAUGAUUUGAAUGCUUUGAAAAUAAAAAAUCUUACAAAAAAUUAUGAUGUAGCACUAAAAUUUUCGAUCAGAUAUAUUGAUCUUGUUAUAGACAGUAUAAAAAAUUUUCUAUCAAAAUUUUAUAUGAUUUGAAUGCUUUUAUACUGUUAAACUCGCAAAUAGCAGACAUCAACCAUUAAAUAUUGUUGAUUUUGAAUCUUUUGAUCACUAGGUAAAUGAUAUUGAAAAUUCGUAAAAAUUAUUUUUUAAAUACUUCGAAUACGCUAGAUCAAAUCUAAUAGAGCUGAUCGUCGAUUCGAAAGUUUCAUAAUUAAAAACAGCUUAGGAGCACGGUGUCAGGGACUUAGCGAAAUUGCUAUGCAAUAUAAGUUCUUGGCUUAACUUCGCUAGCGGAGCGGAUUGUUAAAUAGCUCCGAACCCAACCCACUGUGGGGAGAUGAAGGGUUUUGUAACUCCUCCCAUCAAUGAUGGAAGCUCAAAGGUUACAAAACUACUAAGAGUUAAUAGGGUGACUUUUGGGCUUAUGGCUCAUUAUGAGGGUGAGUUAAUAGGUGCUUUAGUGGUGAGUUAAUGUAGGCUAGAUUCAAUGUAUCUAGGAGCCUAUAUAUAGUGGGGUUUGGCUAAGGCCAAAGGACACAAGAGGGAGUGUGUGUGUAUGCUGUAAUCUCUUUUUUUAAGUAGUGGAGUAUUUAGUUUUUUGAGUGAACCUCUGCCCCUCUCUCUUUGUCAUUCCCUUAGCAUACUUAGUCGUAGGACGCGAAGGUCCGGACUAGCAAUAGGGACGAAGGCUUGCCCAUCUUCGAGCAGGAAGGCAGGCGCCGCACGGGCUUUGCGAACAGAAACAAUAAGGCCGUGACAGUUGGUAUCAGAGCCGGUUCGAGGAGGAACCGUGUCGUUAUCCGAUGCGGGAAUUGCCAACGUUGGGGG
This 1258-nucleotide long non-coding RNA is filed under the name Ananas comosus (pineapple). Its description in RNAcentral is "long non-coding RNA (ACOM_LNC024519)". The record is from RNAcentral. Lineage: Eukaryota; Viridiplantae; Streptophyta; Magnoliopsida; Poales; Bromeliaceae.